CUUGGUCAUUUAGAGGAAGUAAAAGUCGUAACAAGGUUUCCGUAGGUGAACCUGCGGAAGGAUCAUUAAAGAAUUGCCCCGUCUUCUCGAAGAUGGGUUCUAUUCCAAACCGUGUUUACAUACCUUUGUUGCUUUGGCGGGCCGCCGCUUCGGCGUUGGCUCCGGCUGACUGCGCCCGCCAGAGGACCACAACUCUUUUGUUUAGUAAUGUCUGAGUACUAUAUAAUAGUUAAAACUUUCAACAACGGAUCUCUUGGUUCUGGCAUCGAUGAAGAACGCAGCGAAAUGCGAUAAGUAAUGUGAAUUGCAGAAUUCAGUGAAUCAUCGAAUCUUUGAACGCACAUUGCGCCCCUUGGGUAUUCCGAGGGGCAUGCCUGUUCGAGCGUCAUUAUAACCACUCAAGCCUCGGCUUGGUCUUGGGGUCCCGCGGUCUCGCGGCCCUUNAAAAUCAGUGGGCGGUGCCGUCUGGCUCUAAGCGUAGUAAUUCUCUCGCUAUAGGGUCCAGGUGGUUGCUUGCCAAAACCCCCAUUUUCUAUGGUUGACUCGGAUCAGGUAGGGAUACCCGCUGAACNUAAGCAUAUCAAUAGCGGAGGAAAAGAACCCACCAGGGAUUGCCUCAGUAACGGCGAGUGAAGCGGCANCAGCUCAAAUUUGAAAUCUGGCUCUUNCAGGUUCCGAGUUGUAAUUUGUAGAAGAUGCUUUGGGUGUAGCUCCGGUCUAAGUUCCUUGGANCAGGACGUCAUAGAGGGUGAGAAUCCCGUACGUGACUGGUUGCUUUCGCUCGUGUAAAGCUCUUUCGACGAGUCGAGUUGUUUGGGAAUGCAGCUCAAAAUGGGUGGUAAAUUUCAUCUAAAGCUAAAUAUUGGCCAGAGACCGAUAGCGCACAAGUAGAGUGAUCGAAAGAUGAAAAGCACUUUGGAAAGAGAGUUAAACAGUACGUGAAAUUGUUGAAAGGGAAGCGCUUGCAACCAGACUUGCACGCUGUUGAUCAUCCGAGAUUUUUCCCGGUGCACUCGGCAGUGUUCAGGCCAGCAUCGGUUUUGGUGGGCGGAUAAAGGCCUUGGGAAUGUAGCUUCUUUCGGGGAGUGUUAUAGCCCUCGGUGCAAUGCGCCCUACCGGGACCGAGGACCGCGCUUCGGCUAGGAUGCUGGCGUAAUGGUUGUAAGCGACCCGUCUUGAAACACGGACC
Molecule: ribosomal RNA, 1189 nt
Filed under: uncultured fungus
Lineage: Eukaryota; Fungi
Description: eukaryotic LSU rRNA
Rfam family: Eukaryotic large subunit ribosomal RNA (bases 539-1189)
Source: RNAcentral